Molecule: transfer RNA, 70 nt
Filed under: Halyomorpha halys (brown marmorated stink bug)
Lineage: Eukaryota; Metazoa; Arthropoda; Insecta; Hemiptera; Pentatomidae
Description: tRNA-Gly
Source: RNAcentral
AUCCUUCUAGUAUAAAUAAAUAUAUUUGACUUCCAAUCAAAAAAUCCAUCUGUCUGGGGGGGAUAAUAUA